AUACGUAUGUCGCAAGCGUUAUCCGGAUUUAUUGGGCGUAAAGCGCGUCUAGGCGGCUUAGUAAGUCUGAUGUGAAAAUGCGGGGCUCAACCCCGUAUUGCGUUGGAAACUGCUAAACUAGAGUACUGGAGAGGUAGGCGGAACUACAAGUGUAGAGGUGAAAUUCGUAGAUAUUUGUAGGAAUGCCGAUGGGGAAGCCAGCCUACUGGACAGAUACUGACGCUAAAGCGCGAAAGCGUGGGUAGCAAACAGGAUUAGAUACCCUGGUAGUCCACGCCGUAAACGAUGAUUACUAGGUGUUGGGGGUCGAACCUCAGCGCCCAAGCUAACGCGAUAAGUAAUCCGCCUGGGCAGUACGUACGCAAGUAUGAAACUCAAAUGAAUUGACGGGG
RNAcentral lists this ribosomal RNA (392 nucleotides) under uncultured bacterium. RNAcentral's name for it is "partial 16S ribosomal RNA". It matches the Rfam family "Bacterial small subunit ribosomal RNA", at positions 523 to 918 of the family's 1533-position model. The record is from RNAcentral.